GCACCUCUAGCUCAACUGGUUAGAGCAUCGGACUCUUAAUCCGCAGGUUCUGGGUUCGAGUCCCAGGGGGUGUA
Molecule: transfer RNA, 74 nt
Filed under: Actinomycetes bacterium
Lineage: Bacteria; Bacillati; Actinomycetota; Actinomycetes
Also listed under: 1 other name
Description: tRNA-Lys
Rfam family: tRNA
About the family: Transfer RNA (tRNA) molecules are approximately 80 nucleotides in length. Their secondary structure includes four short double-helical elements and three loops (D, anti-codon, and T loops).
Source: RNAcentral